UAUAUGCCCACCGUAAAUUACAGGUGUGCUACGCGAUUUUUGCGAAUCUUGCGUUUUGUUCAGUAUAAUUGUGAUUUUCUAGCGUAUGUAAAAGUAAAUCGUGAAAUAUCACUUUGAUAUGCGGUAAAACACCUAGAGGAGGUCACAGACAGUGUGACUUGUGACAGUAACAGUUGUACCAACGUGAUGGAAGAUAGCCAGGACAAGGAGUGGGUACAGUUUAGAGAGGGAGACACCCGAGAGCCAGGGGAGGGUGAAUCACGAGGGUCCCAGGAUUCUGUUACCAGCACAAAUGCACAAGACAUCUCAGAUUUGGAAGAGAAUGGGUCUGACAAAGAAUCUCAAGUCGUACGUAGCAGCAAAACUGAAGAAAAAGACCUGGAUUUGGUGAAGACAGACAGGGGUGACAUAGCUGAGGCUGUUGAGUGUACAAUCCCAGCAAGAAGUGAGCAGACAGCCGUGGCAUCGCCUACAGAAGAAAUUUCAGAAUCUCCUGGUGCAGUCAUUGAUACAACGCAGGUCGAGGUGAAUAUCAGUCGGAAGAAAAAGUCCGUUAUGAUUACAGAGGCGCCUCGUAACGAUAUAGAGCACAAACGCGAGCAUGCUGUUCCUGGAGAGGUCCGUGGUACACAACCUGGUAGAAGCAUUUUGAAGCACUCUAGCGACAUUCAAUUAGGAAGUAACUCUUCUGCCAGUACUUCACACAGAAGUGCUGUACCAGAUAAUGGUCAGCAUUUGGAGUCAGUGUGGCCUAUGCCUGGCAAGUGUGUCUGGGUCACAAAGGCCACGUUUGAUACAGAAGUUAUUCCUGCCCGGCUCCUGGAAGAUGACUUAACUCUGCCACAUCACGAAUACAGCAUGGCUAUGGAGUUUCUCGUGAAUGACUACCGGUUCAAUUGCUACUCGAUGUGCUACCGACGCAUCAUCAUCAUUUGGCUGCUGCUCAGCUUUGUUGCUCUGUUUGCAAUUCUCUUCUCUGGGUUGAAGGGAUUGAACCUGUUUGCUGCUGGUGUCAUCUGGUUGGUUGUCAAUGCUGCAGGAAUCAUACUGUGCUUGUUCGCUAAGCGAAAGUGGGAUCAAGGAAUGGACAGAGCAGUGUCAGCCGUUAACCAGAUACUCGUGAAACAUAGCAUAUUGAUGUGCAUGGAAGACCAGGGCAGGUUGUCAUGCCACAAGAUCAUGCUGCACUUUUAUUACUUCAAUAUCACGGAUUGUGUCCAUCAAGUUAGUAACAUGCUUCUCAAAGGUGAAGUGAGGUCAAAGAAGAGAGUGGAAGAAAACCCAGGCUUCUUUGCAAGAUGGAGCAUGCUUAGAAAGCGACAGCAGAUGGCACCACCAGCAGAAGCUCAAUUCCAACAUGCUGAUGAUGAUGGUACUAUAGCACCUGUUGCUGGGGAAACUGUGGUUGCUAUGGAAGCUGAUACGGAAGCAAUAGUGAGUGAUGGCGAGUCUAAAGUUUCAUCAGAGCCCAAGCGGAUGAUCAAAGCAGAAAAAAUGGUAUUGAAAUAUAGUCAACAUUACCUGAAGUCACUAGCAAGAGACCUGAUCAAUUUCCCUCCAUCUCAUAUUGCUGCCCAGUUUCGCCCCGAGGUGCGACACUGCAGCAAGGCAUACUGCAUCUGUCAGUAUAUAGAGGAAAGACACUUCUAUGAUCAGCUUCCCAGAUCACGGCUUGGUUCUGGCCUAUCGUACAUCGCAGCCUGAUUUCUACUGAGGUCAACCCUUUUAUCAAGAGUAAAUGGUCAGCGAUUAAACGUCAGUGGGAUACAGACCAGAGUUAUACAUGGCUCCUGCUACACCAGUUCUGUAUGGUUUUCGCUAAGCAUACUGAAAGAUUUUAGAAAUGGCUCCUACCACGACGAGGCUUUUUCCUUUAGGAGUAAGGAGCAAGAUUUACUGAGCGAAUCUCUGAGGUACACUUUUAUUAGGAAUAAGAGAAGCAUAAAAUCAUCGAUCGUAAUGUAAAGUAAAAUCAUUUAUAGAUUUGAUUUGUUUUAAUUGUUUAUAUAUAUAUGCACUAUUUGUUGUGAUUUGCACCCUAUGAUAUAAUAUGUAUUAGACCCCACUGAUAUAUUUCCCCUUAUUUUAAAAUCCUGAAAUGAAAAAUAAGGCCUCUAUUCUUCUUUAGAUUUGAAAGUUUACUCUGAUAUGGUACAUUUUAUUUACCACAUAUUCAUUUAGGACUAGACACAAUAAGAUAAUUUACAAAGCAUAAUAUAUAUAAUGGUAAUUUUGACCAUACAUAUCUUGAUUAUCAGAGAUACGUGAUAUUGAUGUGAUGAUAGUUAUUGAAUACUGCUUCUAGUUGGUCACUAUAGGUUCACCAGUAUGAAAGUCCCACCUUUGUUAUACCUUUAGGGGAACCCUAAAUGGGGAAAAAUACUGUGAACUGAACCUAAAAAAAGAUUGCUUCCAUCAGCACGUGUGAUAUAGCAUCUUACCGAUAUAAGCUGUUGUUUACGUACCACUGAGCAUAAUACAGGAUAUUAAUAAUGAAUAAAAUAAAAUGAUAAAUUGAUUAAAUUAAAUCCACAGUGAAUUUUUUUCAAUUUACAGUUUAAUUUAUUAAUGAAAAAUAUUUAUAAAUUAUUUUUUUGGACCAUUAGUGUAUCACAAAAAUACACAAUGGGUUUUCCUUUUUAGAUGCAUUUAGGUGUAAAAUAUUAAUGUGACAUUGCAUAUAUUUUGUUUGAGUUAAAUUGACUAUAAACUAGUGCCGUCUAUAUAUUUGAAAUCAUGUGGUUUUAAUAGCAAUCAGAAACUUGUUAAAUGUUAUAUUAUAAUAGUCGAGUAAACACAAGAUCAAAGUACCAUAAUAGUAUCUCACUAGGGGAUUAAUUCUACACUCACGAGCCAAAAGAAACCACAUCAUACCCAUCGCCAUGUGGUUCGAAAUACUGUAAGGUUCCCUCGUGCAGAUGCGGCAUAUAAUUACGUUUUUAUACCAACAAAAAAGUGUCAAACAAGUAUUAACUGAUACAUAGAGUACCAAUUAAUACUGGUAACAAGCAUAUAAUUAUGGGCUUUAUACAUAGGGAUAGAAUAAUAUAUAGUUUUGUAUGUAAUUUUUUUCGGAUAUCAACAUGCACUGUGUUAUACUGUUAUAGGUAUUGUUCCAUAACUGGAUAGUUAUGUGCAGAUAAAAGCAACUAAUAACUAGUUUUGUAGUAGGGUGUGGCUUAUAGAAAAUUGUCAUCAUCAAUAUGCUGCAUUAGAGUCUAUGACUACAGGUACUGUCAGUCAAACAAGUGAUUAUUAUAGGUUGAUAUAACCAGGGGUGAAUAAUGACAAAUUUGUCAUUAUUAACCCCUGAUAUAACUAUAAAAAGGUGGUUACACUCCUGCUGGGCCUUGGCAUGCACUGCUUUUAAUAUGAAAGAUUAGUUGGCACUAGUAUAUAUAUACAUAUAUGCACGUCCAUGCAGAUCGAUGUAAUCAUAAUCAAUCAAUUUCGUGAGCCACAGGGCUUGCAAUGAAAUCCGAUUUCAACAUUGUAAUUUUCAUGUCGCUGCAGCAAAGACCAGGAAUGGAAAUAGCAUGGUAUUCGAAAUGUAGUAAUUCUCUUUGGACGCAGCGUUCAUUCAGUUGCAUAAAGUUACCAACCAACAUGGCCUACUGUUUCUGGUCGUUUGUGGUAGCAUAAUAUAUGUAGUAGCCAUGUUGGCCAUUGUAACUUUCACAUUAAUAGUACAUUCCAAGAUAAUUUACAACAAGAAUGCAAAUAUUUUGAUGCAGAAUUAUGCAUCCUGUAUGGGUGAAAAAUAAAAGAUGUCAUAAUGUUAUAAA
RNAcentral lists this unclassified non-coding RNA (3785 nucleotides) under Priapulus caudatus. Its description in RNAcentral is "uncharacterized LOC106818049, transcript variant X2". The record is from RNAcentral. Lineage: Eukaryota; Metazoa; Priapulida; Priapulimorpha; Priapulimorphida; Priapulidae.